GAUGACCAGUGGCCAGUCCAGCUGGUAGGUCCAGAGAGGUGAUGACCAGUGGCCAGUCCAGCUGGUAGGUCCAGAGAGGUGAUGAAGUCUUGAGGCUGUGACAUGCUGCUAGAUUCAGUUAGUGAACACACUAUAGUAUCAUUCAUCCAGUCCAGGCUGACGUUAACACAACAACAUUACUGCCAAUGGAUCACAUGACCAAACAAACAUACACACACACAUACAGUACACACACAUACAGCACACCCACACACAGUACACACACACACACAGUACACACACAUACAGCACACACACAUACAGCACACACACACACAGUACACACAGUACACACAGCACACACACACACACAUACAGCACACACACAUACAGCACACACACACACAGCACACACACAUACAGCACACACACAGUACACACACACACAUACAGCACACACAGUACACACACACACACACACACACAUACAGGACACACAGUACACACAGUACAUACAGCACACACACAUACAGCACACACACAGUACACACACACACAUACAGGACACACAGUACACACACAGUACAUACAGCACACACACACAGACAGUACACACACAUACAGCACACACACAUACAGUACACACACAUACAGCACACACAGUACACACACACACACAUACAGCACACACACAUACAGCACACACACAUACAGCACGGGUUAAAAGGCAGAAAGCGCUGGUUCAAAAUCCAAACGAGUCCAUGUCAGUUUAAUUAGACCUCUGCCAUUUGCCAGGGUCAGAGAGUAAGAGAGGCUAACAGUCAACCAGCUAGACUCAGUCAGAGUGUUAUCCAAGCAGGAAGUCUACUAGAACUCUACAGGAGGAGGGGUACGGCUGGUGGGCUGGCUGGAGGUGGGACUCUACAGGAGGAGGGGUACGGCUGGUGGGCUGGCUGGAGGUGGAACUCUACAGGAGGAGGAGGGGUAUGGGUGUUUAUUUAAAUAUCUCUCUGUCUCGGGAAGUCAUUCAGAGUAUUUAUUUAAACAUGUAUUUCAGACCAGAUAGAUAAUGUGCUGCUCUCAGUUUCAAUGGGAGGAGUCAACAGAGAUUUCACUCACUCACACACCUGCACAUACUCACCACAUCCAACAAACUGGGCAAGGCCUUCGUUCUACAAUCUCCUUUGAACACAGCACUGGACAGGAAGAGGAGUGUCAGGGUGUUGUUGUCAGUUAGUAUGACCGUGUUCCUGUCUGCUACUGUUGACAACCGUUGGAGAUGUUGCUAGGGUAGACAGAUAUAAUCUAACAGACAGUGUGAGGGUGUAGACAGUUGGAGAGAUAGAUAGAGAGGCCAUGUUGCUAGGGUAGACAGAUAUAAUCUAACAGACAGUGUGAGGGUGUAGACGGAGAGAUGGAUAGAGAGGCCAUGUUGCUAGGGUAGACAGAUAUAAUCUAACAGACAGUGUGAGGGUGUAGACAGUUGGAGAGAUAGAUAGAGAGGCCAUGUUGCUAGGGUAGACAGAUAUAAUCUAACAGACAGUGUGAGGGUGUAGACAGUUGGAGAGCCAGUUCAGUGAUGUCACUGAUUUACAGUGUAGUUACCAGUUCAGUGAUGUCACUGAUUUACAGUGUAGUUACCAGUUCAGUGAUGUCACUGAUACUGUAGAUACCAGUUCAGUGAUGUCACAGUGAUGUCACUGAUUUACAGUGUAGAUACCAGUUCAGUGAUGUCACAGUGAUGUCACUGAUUUACAGUGUAAUUACCAGUUGACUG
Oncorhynchus tshawytscha (Chinook salmon) is the source of this 1756-nucleotide long non-coding RNA. The record is from Ensembl. NCBI's taxonomy places the organism in Eukaryota, Metazoa, Chordata, Actinopteri, Salmoniformes, Salmonidae.